Molecule: ribosomal RNA, 112 nt
Filed under: Caerostris darwini
Lineage: Eukaryota; Metazoa; Arthropoda; Arachnida; Araneae; Araneidae
Source: RNAcentral
ACGGCCGUACCAUGCUGAAUAUACCGGUUCUCGUUAGAUCACCGAAGUUAAAGCAUCAUUGGGCGCGGUCAGUACUUGGGUGGGUGACCACCUGGGAACACUGCGUGCCGUU